GUGGAUAUAGCUCAGUGGUAGAGUGCAUGCUCAGCAUGCAUGAGGUCCAGGGUUCAAGCCCCAGUACCUCCA
RNAcentral lists this transfer RNA (72 nucleotides) under Camelus bactrianus (Bactrian camel). It matches the Rfam family "tRNA". Rfam says of the family: Transfer RNA (tRNA) molecules are approximately 80 nucleotides in length. Lineage: Eukaryota; Metazoa; Chordata; Mammalia; Artiodactyla; Camelidae. The record is from Rfam by way of RNAcentral. RNAcentral also lists the same sequence under 2 other names.